RNAcentral lists this ribosomal RNA (324 nucleotides) under uncultured bacterium. RNAcentral's name for it is "bacterial SSU rRNA". It matches the Rfam family "Bacterial small subunit ribosomal RNA", at positions 28 to 337 of the family's 1533-position model. The record is from RNAcentral.
GAUGAACGCUGGCGGCGUGCUUAACACAUGCAAGUCGAACGAAGCACUUUACUUGAUUUUCUUUCGGAACUGAUUGUAUUGUGACUGAGUGGCGGACGGGUGAGUAACGCGUGGAUAACCUGCCUCACACAGGGGAUAACAGUUGGAAACGGCUGCUAAUACCGCAUAAGCGCACAGCACCGCAUGGUACAGUGUGAAAAACUCCGGUGGUGUGAGAUGGAUCCGCGUCUGAUUAGCCAGUUGGCGGGUAACGGCCACCAAGCGACGAUCAGUAGCGACCUGAGAGGGUGACCGGCACAUUGGGACUGAGACACGGCCCAAAAC